GACGAACGCUGGCGGCGUGCCUAAUACAUGCAAGUAGAACGCUGAAGAGAGGAGCUUGCUCUUCUUGGAUGAGUUGCGAACGGGUGAGUAACGCGUAGGUAACCUGCCUUGUAGCGGGGGAUAACUAUUGGAAACGAUAGCUAAUACCGCAUAACAAUGGAUGACCCAUGUCAUUUAUUUGAAAGGGGCAAAUGCUCCACUACAAGAUGGACCUGCGUUGUAUUAGCUAGUAGGUGAGGUAACGGCUCACCUAGGCGACGAUACAUAGCCGACCUGAGAGGGUGAUCGGCCACACUGGGACUGAGACACGGCCCAGACUCCUACGGGAGGCAGCAGUAGGGAAUCUUCGGCAAUGGGGGCAACCCUAACCGAGCAACGCCGCGUGAGUGAAGAAGGUUUUCGGAUCGUAAAGCUCUGUUGUAAGUCAAGAACGAGUGUGAGAGUGGAAAGUUCACACUGUGACGGUAGCUUACCAGAAAGGGACGGCUAACUACGUG
This 497-nucleotide ribosomal RNA is filed under the name uncultured bacterium. RNAcentral describes it as "partial 16S ribosomal RNA". It matches the Rfam family "Bacterial small subunit ribosomal RNA", at positions 28 to 507 of the family's 1533-position model. The record is from RNAcentral.